RNAcentral lists this ribosomal RNA (736 nucleotides) under Parahaliea mediterranea. RNAcentral's name for it is "bacterial SSU rRNA". It matches the Rfam family "Bacterial small subunit ribosomal RNA", at positions 59 to 794 of the family's 1533-position model. The record is from RNAcentral. Lineage: Bacteria; Pseudomonadati; Pseudomonadota; Gammaproteobacteria; Cellvibrionales; Halieaceae.
CAGUCGAGCGAGAAGGCCUUCGGGCUGAGUACAGCGGCGGACGGGUGAGUAACGCGUAGGAAUCUACCUGGUAGUGGGGGACAACAUGGGGAAACUCAUGCUAAUACCGCAUACGCCCUAUGGGGGAAAGCGGGGGACCUUCGGGCCUCGCGCUAUCAGAUGAGCCUGCGUAGGAUUAGCUUGUUGGUGAGGUAAAGGCUCACCAAGGCGACGAUCCUUAGCUGGUCUGAGAGGAUGAUCAGCCACACUGGAACUGAGACACGGUCCAGACUCCUACGGGAGGCAGCAGUGGGGAAUAUUGCGCAAUGGGCGAAAGCCUGACGCAGCCAUGCCGCGUGUGUGAAGAAGGCCUUCGGGUUGUAAAGCACUUUCAAUUGGGAAGAAAGGUUGCGUGUUAAUAGCACGUAGCUGUGACGUUACCUUUAGAAGAAGCACCGGCUAACUCCGUGCCAGCAGCCGCGGUAAUACGGAGGGUGCGAGCGUUAAUCGGAAUUACUGGGCGUAAAGCGCGCGUAGGCGGUUUGUUAAGUCGGAUGUGAAAGCCCCGGGCUCAACCUGGGAAUUGCAUUCGAUACUGGCCGACUAGAGUACGAGAGAGGGAGGUAGAAUUCCACGUGUAGCGGUGAAAUGCGUAGAUAUGUGGAGGAAUACCGGUGGCGAAGGCGGCCUCCUGGCUCGAUACUGACGCUGAGGUGCGAAAGCGUGGGUAGCAAACAGGAUUAGAUACCCUGGUAGU